GAUGAACGCUGGCGGCGCGCCUAAUGCAUGCAAGUCGAGCGACGCACACCGGAGGGGUAACCCACUGGUAUGACGGAGCGGCGAACGGGUGAGUAACACGUGAGCAACCUGCCCCACAGACCGGGAUAGCCCAGGGAAACCUGGAUUAAUACCGGAUACCCUCGGAUGACCGCAUGGUCGGUCGAGGAAAAGCCUUUGUGCUGUGGGAUGGGCUCGCGACUUAUCAGCUAGUUGGUGGGGUAACGGCCUACCAAGGCAAUGACGAGUAGCUGGUCUGAGAGGACGAUCAGCCACACUGGAACUGAGACACGGUCCAGACUCCUACGGGAGGCAGCAGCAGGGAAUCUUGUCCAAUGGGCGCAAGCCUGAGACAGCGACGCCGCGUGGGGGAUGAAGGCCUUCGGGUUGUAAACCCCUUUCAGGAGGGAAGAAAUUGACGGUACCUCCAGAAGAAGCACCGGCCAACUACGUGCCAGCAGCCGCGGUAAU
RNAcentral lists this ribosomal RNA (489 nucleotides) under uncultured bacterium. RNAcentral's name for it is "bacterial SSU rRNA". It matches the Rfam family "Bacterial small subunit ribosomal RNA", at positions 28 to 524 of the family's 1533-position model. The record is from RNAcentral.